This is a long non-coding RNA of Oncorhynchus tshawytscha (Chinook salmon), 1584 nucleotides long. RefSeq lists it as uncharacterized. Lineage: Eukaryota; Metazoa; Chordata; Actinopteri; Salmoniformes; Salmonidae. The record is from RefSeq and is a predicted model, not a curated record. The transcript has 3 exons.
UUUGCAGUUAAAAUGUCUAAUCAUGCCCCAGCAAUCCUGGGUAUUAGCUGUCCCUCUGUCCUUUGUCUCUUCAGGCCAUUGGGGGUGUGGAGGCUGGCUAAGCCCUGGUUAAUAACCUGCUUGCCCUAUGGCGCUGGGCUGGGUUUGUAUUAAGCCCAGUGUCAUCGGAUGGACCAUACUGUGAGUGUGUGAAGCAUAACACCCACUGUCUGAGUGGGAAUUGUGGAAUUCCCUUUUGCCUCUGUUAGCAAUGUGUCCCGACGCUGGCAGAGUGGAAUGGAACAGGGGGGCUGAUCAUUGUUUCAGAAAUACACAGACAGCCAUGGGAAUGGGAAUGGGAGAGAGAGAGAGAGAGAGAGAGAGAGAGAGAGAGAUGGCGUGUGUAUGAGUGAUUGAGUGUCCAACAUGCAUCCUGCCACUGAGGUGCAUUUUUGGACAGAUUGAACACCUCUGUACGACUACUGUUUCAGACUGAUAGCAGCACCGUAGACCCUCAUCAUCAGACAGACACAGGGACACUGAUCCAAUCUGGCAAAAAUGAGCUUGGCUCGGAUCCAUGAUAAACACAAGCUAAAGAAAUACUGGGAGGAGAAAAUCGAAAGUCACAGCGAUAUAAUGGGGAGUGAGGAAUCCAGAAUAAAGAGCAGUGCUUUAUCAAAGCUGCGGGACGAGUGGCUCAGGAGGCUGAAGCUUCGGAACCAGCAGCUGGAGCGUUUUCAAGGAGAAACACAUCAGGAGGGCCAAGAUGUCCCAACAGACCUUCAAGAUACCCAGUCAAUGACUACUCCAAUCUACAUUCUAGAAUCUACAUCAUUCUAAGCCAUCUGACUGAGGUCAUGACACGUAGAUUAGCCUGGCUGCCAUCUCUUGUUCAGAUACUACAUUCCACUCAUUGCAACUCCUGUCAUUUGCCAAAGACAAUCUUUGGUAAAUGACGGGAGUGACAAGGAGUGGAUUGUUAGCUAAAAAAAAGACUGGUACUCAGACUAAUGAUGUAGGGUUAACUCGGACUAGCUUCUCAUUUCAGAUGAUGACAUUACGACUAUAGAUUGAGGGGAAAUACUGUAACUGAAGUGAAGUUUACUUCUUGAGAGGGAGACGGUAUGGCAGAAAGUCAAAUGGAUGGGAUGUUGCCGAAUGAUUAGUUGCAGAGCCAUGCUGUACAGACUUUGUCAUUAACACUCAUGUCGUAGUUUUGAGGCGACCAUCUGUUGUGCAGCUAAAUAAGUGCAGGGGAGUAUGUGAAGACUUGACUGUACAUCAGAGUGACAGUCGUGGUGACAGGUGGGGUAAUUAUUUGAUUUUGUGUCGGAGGAAUAUACAACGUGAUCGAGAGGAAACAUGAUGAAGAUUGACAGAAUAUGGUAUGUUGUUUUUUUUCAAGAAAGAAAAGUAUGGAAAGUUCAGAGGAACCAUAGAAAUGUGUUAAUGUCCCAAUUUCCGGGCUUAAAUAUAGAUAGAAUUUCAUCAUGUUUAACAUAAUUUAUCGGCAACAUUAAAAGAGAGGGGAAAGCAUCUCUUCUGAGGCAUGUGAAAUGUAAAGAACUCAUUUGUGUAAAAUAAAAAAAUGCAUGUGGCCAGUUU